This is a long non-coding RNA of Mercenaria mercenaria, 2130 nucleotides long. RefSeq lists it as uncharacterized. The record is from RefSeq and is a predicted model, not a curated record. NCBI's taxonomy places the organism in Eukaryota, Metazoa, Mollusca, Bivalvia, Venerida, Veneridae. The transcript is spliced from 2 exons.
AACCAAGGUCAAGGUCACAGGGGCCUGAACAUUGAAAACCAUUUCCGAUCAAUAACGAGAGAACCACUUGACCCAGAAUGUUGAAACUUCAUAGGAUGAUUGGUCAUGUAGGGUAGAUGACCCCUAUUGAUUUUGGGGUCACUCCGUCAAAGGUCAAGGUCACAGGGGCCUGAACAUUGAAAACCAUUUCCAAUCAAUAACUAGAGAACCACUUGACCCAGAAUGUUGAAACUUCAUAGGAUGAUUGGUCAUAAAGAGUAAUUGACCCCUAUUGAUUUUGGGGUCACUCCAUCAAAGGUCAAGGUCACAGGGGCCUGAAUAUUGAAAACCAUUUCCGAUCAAUAGCUAGAGAACCACUUGACCCAGAAUGUUGAAACUUCAUAGCAUGAUUGUACAUGCAAAGUAGAUGACCCCUAUCGAUUUUGGGGUCACUCCAUUAAAGGUCAAGGUCACAGGGGCCUGAACAUUGAAAACCAUUUCCGGUCAAUAACUUGAGAACCACUUGACCCAGAAUGUUGAAAUUUAAUAGGAUGAUUGGUCAUGCAGAUUAGAUGACCCCUAACGAUUUUGGGGUCACUCUGUGAAAGGUCAAGGUCACAGGGGCCCGAACAUUGAAAACCAUUUCCGGUCAGUAACUUGAGAACCACUUGACCCAGAAUGAUGAAACUUCAUAGGAUGAUUGGUCAUGCAGAGUAGAUGACCCGUUUGGCGAUUUUAGGGUCACUCUGUUAAAGGUCAAGGCCACAGGGGCCUGAACAUGGAAAACCAUUUCCAAUCAAUAACUUGAGAACCUCUCGACCCAGAAUGUUGAAACUUCAUAGGAUGAUUGUUCAUGCAGAGUAAAUGACCCCUAUUGUUUUUGGGGUCACUCCGUUAAAGGUCAAGGUCACAGGGGCCUGAACAUUGAUAACCAGUUCCGAUCAAUAACUUGAGAACCACUUGACCCAGAAUGUUGAAACUUCAUAGGAUGAUUGAACAUGCAGAGUAGAUGACCCCUAUUGAUUUUGGGGUCAGUCUAUUAAAGGUCAAGGUCACAAUGGCCUGUUCAUGUAAAAUCCAUGGGUGAAAGUUUUCCGUAUUAUGACGGAAUUCCGUAUUUUGGACCUGCCCAAAGGUCAUUUUUCCAAAUCGUAUAAAUCCGAUGAGAUUUUCGGUGGGGGGGUGGGGAUCAAGUCAACUCGUCCCCUAGUCAUUGUUCCAGUGCGGUCGUCUAUCAAUGGCAAAAUAAUGACAUUCAUAUUUUCCAGGAUGCUAAAAAUAGCGCUGAUUGCAACAAUUGCAUCAUCCUUUUCCGUUAGGAAUACCGUAUGUAACAUUAUUCGAUAGCCGAAAAUAACCGAACGCUGGCGAUUAUUCAUCCAAAAAAUAGACUGUAUAUCGGUUAUUUCCGCUGAUAAGACUGAAGAUUCUAUUUGAAAUUUCCGUGUGUAACCGUUUGUAACCGAUGGUUAACGAAUCAUUUCAGCACGCGUGAUACUUUAUGACCUCCUUUUACGACAACCAAAAACCUGUUCAUUACUGCUACUCGGAGGCAGAAAUUUCGAAUGUUCACAAUAUUGAAGAAAUUGACCGAUCUGACCAUCAUGAAGUUUCUACCAACGGGUUAAAACAUCAAGGAGAUUGAGAAACAAGCCAAGAACAAAAUUCAACGGCGAUGGCAGUUGUCCGAGUCAGAUUCUGAGGGGUUGAAAUGGUUCGAUAGUGAUUGAUAGAUAGAUAUGCUGUGUUGUAUAUUGCACAAACGAUUAAUUACAAAUCCAAUGGAAAGAAAGGCAUCAGACUUCACUGCGAGGACGCCAAACACCAGAAAAAAACACUCGAGUUGUGAAAACGGGGAAUGAGGUUCUGCCGGGUUCUUCUAAUGGUACUAAGAACACUGAAUCUAUGCAAGACAGGGUGGAUAAACAACACGCCAUAACCAGUGCCACAUAGUGGCACAUACGUAAACACACAUAGCAUUGCCAAAAGAUAGAAGGAUGACCUAAAGAAAAAUCUUAAAGGACAGAUCUUACCACUGUAUACCAGUGAGGCAACAAACAAUAACAAUGAUAAGAAUUUGAAUGUAAUCGCAUUGUAUAUUGUGAAAUAGUGUGGAAAUAAUAAAAUUACAAAUUAAUUUUUGAAAAAUAA